Molecule: long non-coding RNA, 328 nt
Organism: Brachypodium distachyon (stiff brome)
Lineage: Eukaryota; Viridiplantae; Streptophyta; Magnoliopsida; Poales; Poaceae
Exons: 2
Source: RefSeq, a predicted model, not a curated record
CUUAUUUCCCCCACUUCAAUUCGAUUCUUUGCAGCAUUCAUGCAUGUAUAUAUGCAGGGAGGUUGCCAAUUGGUUCUGCAUUGAGUCGUACCGUGGAAGGAGAUCGGGGAGGAUCUGCAUUUCCGAUUGGGAAGGCAUAACUUGGCGUCAGGAAACUGAGAAAUCUGCUUUCUGAAAAGGGGAUCUUCAAGGGCAUGUGGAGUUAUGGCUCCUGAAGUUGCUUGCAGUGUAACUUAACUUGGACUCCUCAAGUAGAUGCCUCUACCUGGUACUCUUAUCAUUUAUGUAGGGAAACAAAGAUGAAAUUUGGAUUGUGAUACUUGACUUC